CCAGCCCGCUCAGAAAACUUAAAGGAAUUGACGGGGGCCCGCACAAGCGGGUGGAGCAUGUGGUUUAAUUCGAUGAUACGCGAGGAACCUUACCUGGGCUCAAAUGUAUGUUGACGUAUUCUGAAAGGGAUACUUCUUCGGACAAUAUACAAGGUGCUGCAUGGUUGUCGUCAGCUCGUGCCGUGAGGUGUCGGGUUAAGUCCCAUAACGAGCGCAACCCCUAUCAUUAGUUGCCAUCAGGUCAAGCUGGGGACUCUAAUGAAACUGCCUACGCAAGUAGUGAGGAAGGUGGGGAUGACGUCAAAUCAGCACGGCCCUUACGUCCAGGGCUACACACGUGCUACAAUGGCCGGUACAAAGGGCAGCUACCUGGUGACAGGAUGCUAAUCUCCAAAACCACUCUCAGUUCGGAUCGGAGUCUGCAACUCGACUCCGUGAAGCUGGAUUCGCUAGUAAUCGCGCAUCAGCCACGGCGCGGUGAAUACGUUCCCGGGCCUU
Molecule: ribosomal RNA, 498 nt
Filed under: uncultured Sphingobacteriales bacterium
Lineage: Bacteria; Pseudomonadati; Bacteroidota; Sphingobacteriia; Sphingobacteriales
Description: bacterial SSU rRNA
Rfam family: Bacterial small subunit ribosomal RNA
Source: RNAcentral